AUCGGGAGGAACUUCUUGAGGUGCUGGCACGGUAGGAAGGACUCCCCACUCGACGUGAUCGCCAUCAACGACACCGGCGGCGUCAAGCAAGCGGCCCACCUCCUUAAAUACGACUCCACCCUCGGCAUCUUCGACGCCGUCGUCAAACCCGUCGGCACCGACGCCAUCUCCGUCGACGGCAAGAUCAUCCAAGUCGUCUCCGACCGCAACCCCUCCAACCUCCCUUGGGGGUAAAAAAAAAAAUUAGAAGAGAGCUAUCUAUGCACAUUGCAUUAUAUAGUAACUUAAUUGUGUUUUACGAUAUUUUUUUUUUACGAUUUUGAAGGGAUAUGGGGAUUGAUCUUGUGAUCGAGGGUACCGGAGUGUUUGUGGAUAGAGACGGAGCCGGGAAGCAUAUUCAAGCCGGGGCGAAGAAGGUGCUCAUCACCGCUCCCGGCAAGGGCGACAUCCCCACGUACGUCGUCGGUGUCAACGCCGAUGCUUACACACACGCCGACGACAUCAUUAGCAACGCCUCCUGCACCACCAACUGUCUUGCCCCUUUCGUCAAAGUCCUCGACCAAAAAUUCGGUAUAAUUUGUUACUGAAAUGUUAAAUGUCGUUUUGAUUUUACUAGUAGUGUUUUGACUUUGAAUGUGUUCUGAUUUUGGCAAAAUUCAAAACACAUAAAUUG
This 673-nucleotide long non-coding RNA is filed under the name Erythranthe guttata (spotted monkey flower). RNAcentral describes it as "long non-coding RNA (EGUT_LNC001300)". Lineage: Eukaryota; Viridiplantae; Streptophyta; Magnoliopsida; Lamiales; Phrymaceae. The record is from RNAcentral.